RNAcentral lists this ribosomal RNA (900 nucleotides) under uncultured bacterium. RNAcentral's name for it is "bacterial SSU rRNA". It matches the Rfam family "Bacterial small subunit ribosomal RNA", at positions 1 to 894 of the family's 1533-position model. The record is from RNAcentral.
CCUUAGAGUUUGAUCCUGGCUCAGGAUGAACGCUAGCUACAGGCUUAACACAUGCAAGUCGAGGGGNAACGACAUCGAAAGCUUGCUUUCGAUGGGCGUCGACCGGCGCACGGGUGAGUAACGCGUAUCCAACCUGCCCAUCACUUGGGGAUAACCUUGCGAAAGUAAGAUUAAUACCCAAUGACGUCUCUAGAAGACAUCUGAAGGAGAUUAAAGAUUUAUCGGUGAUGGAUGGGGAUGCGUCUGAUUAGCUUGUUGGCGGGGUAACGGCCCACCAAGGCGACGAUCAGUAGGGGUUCUGAGAGGAAGGUCCCCCACAUUGGAACUGAGACACGGUCCAAACUCCUACGGGAGGCAGCAGUGAGGAAUAUUGGUCAAUGGGCGAGAGCCUGAACCAGCCAAGUAGCGUGCAGGAUGACGGCCCUAUGGGUUGUAAACUGCUUUUAUAAGGGAAUAAAGUGAGCCUCGUGAGGCUUUUUGCAUGUACCUUAUGAAUAAGGACCGGCUAAUUCCGUGCCAGCAGCCGCGGUAAUACGGAAGGUCCGGGCGUUAUCCGGAUUUAUUGGGUUUAAAGGGAGCGUAGGCCGGAGAUUAAGCGUGUUGUGAAAUGUAGACGCUCAACGUCUGCACUGCAGCGCGAACUGGUUUCCUUGAGUACGCACAAAGUGGGCGGAAUUCGUGGUGUAGCGGUGAAAUGCUUAGAUAUCACGAAGAACUCCGAUUGCGAAGGCAGCUCACUGGAGCGCAACUGACGCUGAAGCUCGAAAGUGCGGGUAUCGAACAGGAUUAGAUACCCUGGUAGUCCGCACGGUAAACGAUGGAUGCCCGCUGUUGGUCUGAAUAGGUCAGCGGCCAAGCGAAAGCAUUAAGCAUCCCACCUGGGGAGUACGCCGGCAACGG